GAGUUUGAUCCUGGCUCAGGAUGAACGCUAGCUACAGGCUUAACACAUGCAAGUCGAGGGGCAGCAUCGCGAUAGCUUGCUAUUGCGGAUGGCGACCGGCGCACGGGUGAGUAACGCGUAUCCAACCUUCCCGCAACUGGGGAAUAACCUUGCGAAAGUAAGACUAAUACCCCAUGGUCUCCAUAGAAGGCAUCUGAAAUGGAGUAAAGGUUUCGGCCGGUUGCGGAUGGGGAUGCGUCCGAUUAGCUUGACGGCGGGGUAACGGCCCACCGUGGCAUCGAUCGGUAGGGGUUCUGAGAGGAAGGUCCCCCACAUUGGAACUGAGACACGGUCCAAACUCCUACGGGAGGCAGCAGUGAGGAAUAUUGGUCAAUGGGCGGAAGCCUGAACCAGCCAAGUAGCGUGAAGGACGACUGCCCUAUGGGUUGUAAACUUCUUUUAUGCGGGGAUAAAGUUCGCCACGUGUGGCGUUUUGCAGGUACCGCAUGAAUAAGGACCGGCUAAUUCCGUGCCAGCAGCCGCGGUAAUACGGAAGGUCCAGGCGUUAUCCGGAUUCAUUGGGUUUAAAGGGAGCGUAGGCCGCCUUUUAAGCGUGUUGUGAAAUGUAGGGGCUCAACCCCUGCACUGCAGCGCGAACUGGAGGGCUUGAGUACACACAAAGUAGGCGGAAUUCAUGGUGUAGCGGUGAAAUGCUUAGAUAUCAUGAAGAACCCCGAUGCGAAGGCAGCUUACUGGAGUGUAACUGACGCUGAAGGUCGAAAGCGCGGGUAUCGAACAGGAUUAGAUACCCUGGUAGUCCGCGCGGUAAACGAUGGAUGCCCGCUGUUUGCCACUUUGGUAAGCGGCCAAGCGAAAGCGUUAAGCAUCCCACCUGGGGAGUACGCCGGCAACGGUGAAACUCAAAGGAAUUGACGGGGGCCCGCACAAGCGGAGGAACAUGUGGUUUAAUUCGAUGAUACGCGAGGAACCUUACCCGGGCUUGAAUUGCAGGAGAACGAUCCAGAGAUGGUGAGGCCCUUCGGGGCUCCUGUGAAGGUGCUGCAUGGUUGUCGUCAGCUCGUGCCGUGAGGUGUCGGCUUAAGUGCCAUAACGAGCGCGACCCCUCUCCGUAGUUGCCAUCGGGUGAAGCCGGGCACUCUGCGGAUACUGCCACCGUAAGGUGUGAGGAAGGUGGGGAUGACGUCAAAUCAGCACGGCCCUUACGUCCGGGGCUACACACGUGUUACAAUGGGGCAUACAGAAAGCAGGCGGCCGGCAACGUCCGUCUAAUCAUCAAAGUGUCCCUCAGUUCGGACUGGGGUCUGCAACCCGACCCCACGAAGCUGGAUUCGCUAGUAAUCGCGCAUCAGCCAUGGCGCGGUGAAUACGUUCCCGGGCCAAGUACACACCGCCCGUC
This 1396-nucleotide ribosomal RNA is filed under the name uncultured bacterium. RNAcentral describes it as "bacterial SSU rRNA". It matches the Rfam family "Bacterial small subunit ribosomal RNA". The record is from RNAcentral.